GACGAACGCUGGCGGCGUGCCUAAUACAUGCAAGUAGAACGCACAGUUUAUACCGUAGCUUGCUACACCAUACACUGUGAGUUGCGAACGGGUGAGUAACGCGUAGGUAACCUGCCUGGUAGCGGGGGAUAACUAUUGGAAACGAUAGCUAAUACCGCAUAAUAUUGAAUAUUGCAUGAUAAUUGAUUGAAAGAUGCUAUUGCAUCACUACCAGAUGGACCUGCGUUGUAUUAGCUAGUAGGUGAGGUAACGGCUCACCUAGGCGACGAUACAUAGCCGACCUGAGAGGGUGAUCGGCCACACUGGGACUGAGACACGGCCCAGACUCCUACGGGAGGCAGCAGUAGGGAAUCUUCGGCAAUGGACGAAAGUCUGACCGAGCAACGCCGCGUGAGUGAAGAAGGUUUUCGGAUCGUAAAGCUCUGUUGUAAGAGAAGAACGGGUGUGAGAGUGGAAAGUUCACACUGUGACGGUAUCUUACCAGAAAGGGACGGCUAACUACGUG
This 505-nucleotide ribosomal RNA is filed under the name uncultured bacterium. RNAcentral's name for it is "partial 16S ribosomal RNA". It matches the Rfam family "Bacterial small subunit ribosomal RNA", at positions 28 to 507 of the family's 1533-position model. The record is from RNAcentral.